CAAUGCUAGUGAGGAUUUAUGUGAAAUUUCAAAUAUUGAUAUCAAGUGUGCACGAAAGAGGGGGCUUUCUGGACAACAGGUACAAGCUGAUGCCCUUACAAAAAACACAAAACCUAGACUUACUGUUCUCUCUCAGGGGGACAACGUUAUCAUUCCAAUUCCGUCCAUUGACCCUGCCGACGAGAGAAACAUAAAAUGCGUGGUGGUGAGUGUAAAUGAACAUGGAGGCUAUAAAAUUGAAACUAAAGUUG
This 251-nucleotide long non-coding RNA is filed under the name Mytilus galloprovincialis (Mediterranean mussel). The record is from RNAcentral. Lineage: Eukaryota; Metazoa; Mollusca; Bivalvia; Mytilida; Mytilidae.